CAACAGACGAGGAGUCCCACAAUAGGACGAAACGGCCGUUCAGUGC
Molecule: non-coding RNA, 46 nt
Filed under: Schistosoma mansoni
Lineage: Eukaryota; Metazoa; Platyhelminthes; Trematoda; Strigeidida; Schistosomatidae
Source: RNAcentral